UUAUUAUCCUUAUACUUUUAUGUUUCAUUUGUAUUUUUAACAAAUUCCUUCUUUUCACUUCAUUUGGUGGUAACUGUACCAAUUUGGGAAAAACCACCGUACUGGAGUUUCUCUGCUGCCGUGAACCACCACACCGGAGACAAUUUGGGACUGAGAUUGAAGCAAGUCCUCUCACCCAAAGUAUGUGUAUUGAACUGGUAUGGGUUGAAAUUUCAAUGGAAUUGGGGAAGAAGAAAGAGUUGAAGAAGAUUAAGAAUUAUUGACUUUUCCUAAAUAAUUUAAAACCUGCUCUCAAAAUAAACAAGGUUCUAUGAUGGUACUAAUUGGAUAUGUCAAUGCUAGUUGCGUUAUUUUGGUUGGGCCUUUAGGAUGCUUUUUUAUCGUGGAAUCAAGCACGAACUUACGAGUUAAAGUUUCACUAUGGUUCUAAUGUUGAUAAAGAAAGGAUUGAUCAAGUAAAGAUUGUCACUUCCAUGUUAAUGAUUAUAUUUUGUAUGUACUUUGCUGUCAAAAGUUAUUUUGUAAGCAAUACUUGAUGUAAUAUCUCGAAUUAUACUUGUUUGUAAUGUAUCACUAUCUCAUGUGGGAUUGGAAAUCUUUCCAACCUACAAAUGUGUAAGGCUUUAAUAACUUUUAUUAUC
RNAcentral lists this long non-coding RNA (641 nucleotides) under Medicago truncatula (barrel medic). RNAcentral describes it as "lncRNA gene36744". The record is from RNAcentral. Lineage: Eukaryota; Viridiplantae; Streptophyta; Magnoliopsida; Fabales; Fabaceae.